GAUGAACGCUAGCUACAGGCUUAACACAUGCUAGUCGAGGGGAAACGAUAUUGGAAGCUUGCUUCCGAUAGGCGUCGACCGGCGCACGGGUGAGUAACGCGUAUCCAACCUGCCCACCACUUGGGGAUAACCUUGCGAAAGUAAGACUAAUACCCAAUGAUAUCCAUAGAAGACAUCUGAAAUGGAUUAAAGAUUUAUCGGUGAUGGAUGGGGAUGCGUCUGAUUAGCUUGUUGGCGGGGUAACGGCCCACCAAGGCGACGAUCAGUAGGGGUUCUGAGAGGAAGGUCCCCCACAUUGGAACUGAGACACGGUCCAAACUCCUACGGGAGGCAGCAGUGAGGAAUAUUGGUCAAUGGGCGAGAGCCUGAACCAGCCAAGUAGCGUGCAGGAUGACGGCCCUAUGGGUUGUAAACUGCUUUUAUAAGGGAAUAAAGUGGGAGUCGUGACUCCUUUUGCAUGUACCUUAUGAAUAAGGACCGGCUAAUUCCGUGCCAGCCGCCGCGGUAA
This 508-nucleotide ribosomal RNA is filed under the name uncultured bacterium. Its description in RNAcentral is "partial 16S ribosomal RNA". It matches the Rfam family "Bacterial small subunit ribosomal RNA", at positions 28 to 523 of the family's 1533-position model. The record is from RNAcentral.